This 1014-nucleotide ribosomal RNA is filed under the name Drosophila buzzatii. RNAcentral's name for it is "eukaryotic LSU rRNA". It matches the Rfam family "Eukaryotic large subunit ribosomal RNA", at positions 1 to 832 of the family's 3401-position model. Lineage: Eukaryota; Metazoa; Arthropoda; Insecta; Diptera; Drosophilidae. The record is from RNAcentral.
UUAUACAACCUCAACUCAUAUGGGACUACCCCCUGAAUUUAAGCAUAUUAAUUAGGGGAGGAAAAGAAACUAACAAGGAUUUUCUUAGUAGCGGCGAGCGAAAAGAAAUCAGUUCAGCACUAAGUCACUUUGUCUAUAUGGCAAAUGUGAGAUGCAGUGCAUGGAACAUCAAUAUUUUAGUAUGAGAAAUUAAUGAUUUAAGUCCUUCUUAAAUGAGGCCAUUUACCCAUAGAGGGUGCCAGGCCCGUAUAACAUUAAUGAUUACUAGCUGAUGUUUCCAAAGAGUCGUGUUGCUUGAUAGUGCAGCACUAAGUGGGUGGUAAACUCCAUCUAAAACUAAAUAUAACCAUGAGACCGAUAGUAAACAAGUACCGUGAGGGAAAGUUGAAAAGAACUCUGAAUAGAGAGUUAAAUAGUACGUGAAACUGCUUAGAGGUUAAGCCCGAUGAACCUGAAUAUCCAUUAUGGAAAAUUCAUCAUUAGAAUUGUAAUAUUUAAACAAUAUUAUAAUAAUAGUGUGCAUUUUUUCCAUAUAAGGACAUUGUAAUCUAUUAGCAUAUUAAUUUAUCAUAAAAUUAUGGCAUAUUGUUUAUUUCAAUUAAAAUGCUUGCGUUUUAACAUGAAAUAAAAGUUGUAAAUUUGAUAAAGUGCUGAUAGAUUCAUAAGAAUACAGUGCGUUAAUUUUUCGGAAUUAUAUAAUGGCAUGAUUAUCAUUGAUUUUUAUGUUUAUCAUAUGCACUUGUAUGAUUAACAAUGCGAAAGAUUCAGGAUACCUUCGGGACCCGUCUUGAAACACGGACCAAGGAGUCUAACAUAUGUGCAAGUUAUUGGGAUAUAAACCUAAUAGCGUAAUUAACUUGACUAUUAAUGGGAUUAGUUUUUUAACUAUUUAUAGUUAAUUAACACAAUCCCGGGGCGUUCUAUACAGUUAUGUAUAAUGGUAUUUAUAUUAUUUAUACCUCUAACUAGAACGUACCUUGAGCAUAUAUGCUGUGACCCGAAAGAUGGUGAACU